RNAcentral lists this long non-coding RNA (3037 nucleotides) under Homo sapiens (human). RNAcentral describes it as "HSALNT0148810". Lineage: Eukaryota; Metazoa; Chordata; Mammalia; Primates; Hominidae. The record is from RNAcentral.
AAUAAAUAAAUAAAUAACAAAAAUUUGAUAAAUUGGAUUUAAUCAAGUUAAAAACUUCUCUUCAAAAGACAUUGUUAUGAGAGCAAAAAGAUAAGCAACAGUCUGGAAAUGAUAUUUGGGAUUCAUAUAUCCGAUAAAGGAUAUGUAUCGAGAAUAUGGAAAUCUCAAAAUCUAAUAAUAAGAAAACAAAAAAUCCCACUUAAAAGUGGACAAAAGAGUGGUACAGAUGCUUCAAAGAAGGCAAAUUAGAACAUAAGAUGCUCAUUAUCAUUAGUUAUCAGGGAAAUCAAAUUUAAAACCACAGUAAGAUACCACUGUGUACUUAUCAGAAAGGCUAAAUGUCAAAAGACUGUCCAUACCAAGUGUUGUUGAGAAUGUGGAGAAAUUGGAGCUCUCAUCCACUGCUGAUGUUGAUGUAAAAUUGUACUACUAUAUUGGAAAAUAACUUGGCAUUUCUCAAAAAGUUAUACUUUAUGAUCCAGCCAUCCUACUCUGAGGUGUUUACCCAAGACAAAUGAAAGUAUAUGUGCAUUAAAAUAUUUGCACACAAAUAUUCAUAGCAGCAUUAUUUGUCACUCAACAGGUAAAUGGAUAAAUUAUAGCACAUCCAUACAAUGGAAUGCUAUUCUGCAAUAGAAAGGAACAGACUAUUGAUAGAAAUGUGGUGCCUACCUCAGAAUGAAUCUUAAAAUAAUCAUGCUGCAGAAACAAGACAGACAAAAAAAGAAUACAUGCUGUAUGAUUUCACUUGUAUAAAAUUCUAGGAAAUGCAAACUAAUCUGUAGUGACAGAAAGCCAACCAGUGAGGAUGAGGUGGGGAGGGAUUAUGAAGAACAAGAGGAAAGCUCUGGGGAUGAAGGAGAAGCUCACGGUCUUGGUGAUGGUUUCGUGGGUGUAAACAUAUGUCAAAUCUUAUCAAGUUGUAUACUUUAAAUAUGUACAGUGUAUUCAUGUGAAUUAUAUUUCAUAAAGCUGUUAAGUAUAGUUGAGUCUUAAUGAGGCAUAUACCAAAAACAACAAAAAUUCUUGAACCUUGUCCUUGAUCUACUGAUACACAUUACCUGGGAGGGAGGCUCAAGGCUGCAGUUUUGCAGUUCUGACACACACACCACCACUUGAAAGCCUCUGGUCCAUGGAGCUGAAAUUCCUCCCAGUGGCCUUGCCAGGCUCCCUUUUUCUCUACCUGCUUCCCAUGAAAGCCUCAGGUUUCCCAGUCCCCAUUUCAUUCUCUGAGCUCCGGCCCACCCAGCUGUCUGAGGUUCCCUGACGGGCCCAGGCUCUUGGCCUCUGGGCCUUUGUAGCUGCUGUGUCCUCCCCCUGGAGCACCCCUGUGCUCUUCUUCAGUUGACUGGUUCCCAAUGGUGCUUCAAAACCCUGCUCAGGAGGCACCACCUCUGGAACGCCUUCCGGACACCCCGCCCCAGGUUGGAGGCUCCAUCUUUUCCACUAGCUUUCCCUGUGAACCUCUCCGAACUUUGGUUUCUUGAUCUCUAAACUGAGCUUAAAAAUAAUGCCUACCUCACAGGAUUGUUUUGAAGACUCAAUGAGAUAAUGUAAACUUUUUAGCAUAGUUGUUGGUGCAUAUUAGAAUUCAACAAACAGUGGCCACUCUGGUGUGGCUGGUGCUAUUAUUAUUCUCCAUCACUCUUGUCAUCUUCUCCUCCUUGUGUCCCUGGAGGCCUCUGAAAAUGUCCCACAGAGCACACUGGUGGCUGCUGUUCAGUCACUUGUCUGCUUCCUCCCCUAGACCAUGACUUCCCUGAGGACAGGGGUGCACCACAAGCAUUCAGUGAGUUCAGUCCACAACACUUAUUGAGCAGCCUCUGGGAGCCAGACCCUAUCCCAGGUGCUGGGGACACAAAAAUUAGGAGGAAGGCAAUGAACAUCAGAAGUGAAGGUGGCAGAGAGGUGCCAGAGGGGAGUGUUAGGAGCACAGAUUUCUGAGCCAUCUGCUCCAUCACAUGUAGCUGUGUGACUUUAGAUAAGAUACUUAACCUCUCUGUUCCUCAGUUGCCUCAUCUGUAAAAGGUGGGGGGUAAAUAAUGCCUAUCUUGCUAGGUUGUUGUAUCAUUUUCUUUUCUUUCCUUUUUUUUUUUUUUUGAGAUGGAGUCUUGCUUUGUCUCCAAGGCUGGAGUGCUGUGGCAUGAUCUCAGCUCACUGCAACCUCCGCCUCCUGGGUUCAAGCACUUCUCCUGCCUCAGCCUCCCGAGUAGCUGGGACUACAGGUGCACACCACCAUGCCUGACUAAUUUUUGUAUUUUUAGUAGAGAUGGGGUUUCACCAUGUUGGUGUGGCCAAGGCUGGUCUCGAACUCCUGACCUCAGGUGAUCCGCCCACCUCGGCCUCCCAAAGUGCUGGGAUUACAGGUUUGAGCCACCGUGCCUGGCCUGUAUCAUUUUAUUUCAUGUUAACACAUAGUCUUGCUCAACUAGGUAAUACUUUUUUUUUUUUUUUUUUUUGAGAUAAUCUCACUCUGUCGCCCAGGCUGGAGUGCAGUGGUGUGAUCUCGGCUCACUGCAACUGCCGCCUCCUGGGUUCAAGCGAUUCUCCUGCCUCAGCCUCCUGAGUAGCUGGGAUUACAGGCGCCCGCCACCACACCCAGCUAAUUUGUGUAUUUUUAGUAGAGACGGGGUUUCACCAUGUUGGCCAGGCUGGUCUGAACUCCUGACCUCAGGCGAUCCGCCCACCUCGGCCUCCCAGAGUUCUGAGAUUACAGGCGUGAGCCACCGCGCCCGGCCCAAUGAGAUAAUAUCUGUAAAACAUUCAGAACAAAGGACACUGAGUAUCCACUGGAUUUGGCAGUUAGCAGUGCAUCAGAGAGAUGUGGAGAGAGCUGCUUUAGAGGAAGCAGAAGCCAAAGUGCAGGGAUGGGGAAGUGAGUGACUGGAAGGGAUGAGAAAGGGGAGUGGAGACAGCCCCCUGAGAGCUAUUGGGCGCAACAAGAGAGAGGGUAGUUUGAUGGAGAGGGCGUUAUUGACAGGAAGGUGCCAGUAGGAUGGGAGUGACUGCAGAUACAGGAGAGACGAAGGAGAACAGA